UACGGAGGGUGCAAGCGUUAUCCGGAUUCACUGGGUUUAAAGUGUGCGCAGGCGGCCGCGCAAGUCGAGUGUGAAAGCCCCGGGCUUAACUUGGGAAUUGCGCUCGAAACUACGUGGCUGGAGUGUGGCAGAGGAAGGUGGAAUUCCAGGUGUAGCGGUGAAAUGCGUAGAUAUCUGGAGGAACACCGGUGGCGAAGGCGGCAUCCUGGACCGGCAUUGACGCUGAGGAGCGAAAGCCAGGGGAGCAAACGGG
Molecule: ribosomal RNA, 253 nt
Filed under: uncultured bacterium
Lineage: Bacteria
Description: partial 16S ribosomal RNA
Rfam family: Bacterial small subunit ribosomal RNA
Source: RNAcentral